UACGAAGGGGGCUAGCGUUGCUCGGAAUCAUUGGGCGUAAAGGGUGCGUAGGCGGUUUGUACAGUCAGGUGUGAAAUUCCCGGGCUCAACCUGGGGGCUGCACUUGAUACGUAGGAACUUGAGUGGGGAAGAGGGUCGUGGAAUUCCCAGUGUAGAGGUGAAAUUCGUAGAUAUUGGGAAGAACACCGGUGGCGAAGGCGGCGACCUGGUCCUUGACUGACGCUGAGGCGCGAAAGCCAGGGGAGCAAACGGG
This 253-nucleotide ribosomal RNA is filed under the name uncultured bacterium. Its description in RNAcentral is "partial 16S ribosomal RNA". It matches the Rfam family "Bacterial small subunit ribosomal RNA", at positions 524 to 776 of the family's 1533-position model. The record is from RNAcentral.